RNAcentral lists this ribosomal RNA (539 nucleotides) under uncultured bacterium. RNAcentral's name for it is "bacterial SSU rRNA". It matches the Rfam family "Bacterial small subunit ribosomal RNA", at positions 356 to 896 of the family's 1533-position model. The record is from RNAcentral.
GAGGAAUAUUGGUCAAUGGACGGAAGUCUGAACCAGCCAAGUAGCGUGCAGGAUGACGGCCCUAUGGGUUGUAAACUGCUUUUGUAUGGGGAUAAAGUCAAUCACGUGUGAUUGUUUGCAGGUACCAUACGAAUAAGGACCGGCUAAUUCCGUGCCAGCAGCCGCGGUAAUACGGAAGGUUCGGGCGUUAUCCGGAUUUAUUGGGUUUAAAGGGAGCGUAGGCCGGAGAUUAAGUGUGUUGUGAAAUGUAGACGCUCAACGUCUGACUUGCAGCGCAUACUGGUUUUCUUGAGUACGCACAACGUUGGCGGAAUUCGUCGUGUAGCGGUGAAAUGCUUAGAUAUGACGAAGAACUCCGAUUGCGAAGGCAGCUGACGGGAGCGCAACUGACGCUUAAGCUCGAAGGUGCGGGUAUCGAACAGGAUUAGAUACCCUGGUAGUCCGCACAGUAAACGAUGGAUGCCCGCUGUUGGUACCUGGUAUCAGCGGCUAAGCGAAAGCAUUAAGCAUCCCACCUGGGGAGUACGCCGGCAACGGUG